This 243-nucleotide ribosomal RNA is filed under the name Petrosaurus thalassinus. RNAcentral's name for it is "partial 16S ribosomal RNA". It matches the Rfam family "Bacterial large subunit ribosomal RNA", at positions 2534 to 2855 of the family's 2925-position model. Lineage: Eukaryota; Metazoa; Chordata; Lepidosauria; Squamata; Phrynosomatidae. The record is from RNAcentral.
GGAUCAGGACACCCAAAUGGUGCAGCCGCUAUUAAAGGUUCGUUUGUUCAACGAUUAAUAGUCCUACGUGAUCUGAGUUCAGACCGGAGCAAUCCAGGUCGGUUUCUAUCUAUGUUGUAGCUUUCUUUAGUACGAAAGGACCAAGAAAGCAGGACCUCUGUCAACAACACGUCCUAAACCAUAAGGCUAAAUUCAACUAAAGCCUAAAACAAGACCCCCGUAAACCCAGAGACAAUGGGCUUA